UACGGAAGGCAGCAGUAAGGAAUAUUGGUCAAUGGGCGCAAGCCUGAACCAGCCAUGCCGCGUGCAGGAAGACGGCCCUCCGGGUUGUAAACUGCUUUUAUACCGGAAUAAACCUCCUACGUGUAGGGAGCUGAAUGUACGGUAGGAAUAAGGAUCGGCUAACUCCGUGCCAGCAGCCGCGGUAAUACGGAGGAUCCGAGCGUUAUCCGGAUUUAUUGGGUUUAAAGGGUGCGUAGGCGGCCUGUUAAGUCAGGGGUGAAAGACGGUGGCUCAACCAUCGCAGUGCCCUUGAUACUGACGGGCUUGAAUUAACUAGAGGCAGGCGGAAUGUGACAAGUAGCGGUGAAAUGCAUAGAUAUGUCACAGAACACCGAUUGCGAAGGCAGCUUGCUAUGGUUAUAUUGACGCUGAGGCACGAAAGCGUGGGGAUCAAACAGGAUUAGAUACC
This 448-nucleotide ribosomal RNA is filed under the name uncultured bacterium. RNAcentral's name for it is "bacterial SSU rRNA". It matches the Rfam family "Bacterial small subunit ribosomal RNA", at positions 340 to 786 of the family's 1533-position model. The record is from RNAcentral.